This is a long non-coding RNA of Solanum stenotomum, 262 nucleotides long. RefSeq lists it as uncharacterized. NCBI's taxonomy places the organism in Eukaryota, Viridiplantae, Streptophyta, Magnoliopsida, Solanales, Solanaceae. The record is from RefSeq and is a predicted model, not a curated record. The transcript is spliced from 3 exons.
ACACUCUACCCUCCCCCAGAAAGUUGCCAAAAGAAAAUGAUCGAAAAAAACAAUUUUAUCCGACCUGCCGGAUUCGAACCAGCGACCUAAGGAUAUCUGAAAGGCUUACACCUACUACAGUCCUCCGCUCUACCAACUGAGCUAAGAGUAGGAGUAUAUUAUAUGGUAAGUCCUUUACAUAUAUAAAAAAAAAGAUGGCAAAAGAAUAAAUCCGACCUGCCGGAUUCGAACCAGCGACCUAAGGAUAUCUGAAAGGCUUACA